Long non-coding RNA from Oncorhynchus keta (chum salmon), 272 nucleotides. RefSeq lists it as uncharacterized. The record is from RefSeq and is a predicted model, not a curated record. NCBI's taxonomy places the organism in Eukaryota, Metazoa, Chordata, Actinopteri, Salmoniformes, Salmonidae. The transcript is spliced from 3 exons.
UGACUGGGUACUAGGUGGUACUGGUGGUGUUAUUGGUGACUGGGUACUAGUUGGUACUGGUGGUGACUGGGUACUAGGUGGUACUGGUGGUGACUGGGUACUAGGUGGUACUGGUGGUGUUAUUGGUGACUGGGUACUAGGUGGUACUGGUGGUGUUAUUGGUGACUGGGUACUAGGUGGUACUGGUGGUGUUAUUGGUGACUGGGUACUAGGUGGUACUGGUGGUGUUAUUGGUGACUGGGUACUAGGUGGUACUGAUGGUGACUGGGUAC